CAGCAGUAGCCGCGGUAAUACGUAGGUGGCAAGCGUUGUCCGGAAUUAUUGGGCGUAAAGGGCUCGCAGGCGGUUUCUUAAGUCUGAUGUGAAAGCCCCCGGCUCAACCGGGGAGGGUCAUUGGAAACUGGGGAACUUGAGUGCAGAAGAGGAAAGUGGAAUUCCAUGUGUAGCGGUGAAAUGCGCAGAGAUAUGGAGGAACACCAGUGGCGAAGGCGACUUUCUGGUCUGUAACUGACGCUGAUGUGCGAAAGCGUGGGGAUCAAACAGGAUUAGAUACCCGAGUAGUCCCUGUCUCUUAUAC
This 304-nucleotide ribosomal RNA is filed under the name uncultured bacterium. RNAcentral describes it as "partial 16S ribosomal RNA". It matches the Rfam family "Bacterial small subunit ribosomal RNA", at positions 506 to 807 of the family's 1533-position model. The record is from RNAcentral.